AGCAGUGUGGCCUAAUGGAAAGAGUAUGAGACUGGGAGUCACAGAUCCUGGGUUCUAAUCCCAGCUCUGCUA
Molecule: transfer RNA, 72 nt
Filed under: Ornithorhynchus anatinus (platypus)
Lineage: Eukaryota; Metazoa; Chordata; Mammalia; Monotremata; Ornithorhynchidae
Rfam family: tRNA
About the family: Transfer RNA (tRNA) molecules are approximately 80 nucleotides in length. Their secondary structure includes four short double-helical elements and three loops (D, anti-codon, and T loops).
Source: Rfam by way of RNAcentral